Hyla sarda is the source of this 541-nucleotide long non-coding RNA. RefSeq lists it as uncharacterized. The transcript is spliced from 3 exons. NCBI's taxonomy places the organism in Eukaryota, Metazoa, Chordata, Amphibia, Anura, Hylidae. The record is from RefSeq and is a predicted model, not a curated record.
GGAGGACUGAGUCCAAGAAGGGUAGAGGAGCUGGAACCAGAUAUACAGAGAACAGAAAAGAAGCUUUCACUGGAAGAUAGUAUGGUCAGGGUCAAAGGACAAGCCACGAAGGGGACAAGGUAGGGGGCAUGUCCCUCUCUUGCCUGCACUGUGCAUGACUCCUCCCCUCCCUCACUCUGCUGACUCACUGCUCUGAAGCCUGGCAGCCCUGCUCCGUAACCCUUUCCUCUCUGGUUUUAUGCUGUACAAACACACACACACACAAUGAUUAUCGGAGAUUGCCUGUACUCUGCCAAAGACAAUAAGGAAAAAUCUGUCCAACCGGUGUGCUAUUCUAAUCUGUCUCUCAAUAUAUUAAAGGAGGUAAGGAGAAGAGAACAGAUAAAGGGAAGAGAGGUUACAUAAGUGCCCUCUAUAAGCAUAUUUCUUAUUGUCUCUUCUCCCUGUGUAUACAGAGGUGGUUUGUCCAAUAAACAUUAUUUACUACUUUUAUUAUAUCACCUACUGAAGGAAUAUAUUUCUAAACGGUAGAGAGAAACUA